UACGGAGGGUGCAAGCGUUGCUCGGAAUUAUUGGGCGUAAAGGGUAGGUAGGUGGUCUUAUUUGUCUGGGGUGAAAGCCUUGAGCUUAACUCAAGAAGUGCCCCAGAAACGGUAAGACUGGAGUCUCGGAGAGGGUCGUGGAAUUCCCGGUGUAGCGGUGAAAUGCGUAGAGAUCGGGAGGAACACCAGCGGCGAAGGCGGCGACCUGGACGAGUACUGACACUCAACUACGAAAGCGUGGGGAGCAAACAGG
This 253-nucleotide ribosomal RNA is filed under the name uncultured bacterium. RNAcentral describes it as "partial 16S ribosomal RNA". It matches the Rfam family "Bacterial small subunit ribosomal RNA", at positions 524 to 776 of the family's 1533-position model. The record is from RNAcentral.